AGGAAGCGAGAAGUCGACGCGCCGAAAGGCGUCCGGCCCUCCGCGAGCACCCGCGGGGGUUCGGGUUUCGGACCCGGUCCGUUCCCGUUCCCACCGAGGGGCUGUCCGCGAUCAUGGAGGUGUCCUCGGACGGCGUCGAAGUCUCCGGUCCGCGACGCUACGGCUUGGAUGGUCCACCCGACCCGUCUUGAAACACGGACCAAGGAGUCUAACAUGCGCGCGAGUCGUUGGGUCGGACACGCUCCGCUAAACCCAUAGGCGCAAUGAAAGUGAAGGCCGCCGUCCGGCGGCCGAGGGAGGACGGGGCCGCAGGGGGCGCUCCGGCGUCCUCCGGUCCCCGCACCCCCGGGGCGUCUGAUCCCUCAUCGCGAGGGGAGGCGCACCCAGAGCGCACACGUUGGGACCCGAAAGAUGGUGAACUAUGCCUGGCCAGGACGAAGUCAGGGGAAACCCUGAUGGAGGUCCGUAGCGAUUCUGACGUGCAAAUCGAUCGUCGGAGCUGGGUAUAGGGGCGAAAGACUAAUCGAACCAUCUAGUAGCUGGUUCCCUCCGAAGUUUCCCUCAGGAUAGCUUGCGCUCGGAGGAGAGUCUCAUCCGGUAAAGCGAAUGAUUAGAGGCCUUGGGGCCGAAACGGCUUCAACCUAUUCUCAAACUUUAAAUGGGUGAGAACUCCGGCUUGCUCGACUUAUCGAAGCCGGAGACGGGGUCCACUCUUCGGGGUGGACCCCCGGGAUCGGAGUGCACAGUGGGCCACUUUUGGUAAGCAGAACUGGCGCUGUGGGAUGAACCAAACGACGGGUUAAGGCGCCCGAAUCGACGCUCAUGGGAAACCAUGAAAGGUGUUGGUUGCUUAAGACAGCAGGACGGUGGCCAUGGAAGUCGGAAUCCGCUAAGGAGUGUGUAAUAACUCACCUGCCGAAGCAACUAGCCCUGAAAAUGGAUGGCGCUGAAGCGUCGUGCCUAUACCCGGCCGUCGCGGCAGGGCGGACCCGACUUCGGUCGGGUGCCGUUUGAUGCGGCGACGAGUAGGAGGGUCGCGGCGGCGCGCGCAGAAGGGUCUGGGCUCGAGCCUGCCUGGAGCCGUCGCCGGUGCAGAUCUUGGUGGUAGUAGCAAAUACUCCAGCGAGGCCCUGGAGGACUGAUGUGGAGAAGGGUUUCGUGUGAACAGCCGUUGCACACGAGUCAGUCGAUCCUAAGCCCUAGGAGAAAUCCGACGCCAACGGCGACGGGAAAAAUGAAAUGAAAUUGAAAGAAACCCGUUGAUCGGGCGAAAGGGAAUCCGGUUCCUAUUCCGGAACCCGGCAGCGGAACCGCUGUUUGUCGGGCCCUCACAAGGGGUCCGUCAGGGUAACCUAAAAGGGCCCGGAGACGCCGUCGGGAGCCCCGGAAAGAGUUUUCUUUUCUGCAUGAGCGUUCGAGUUCCCUG
This 1426-nucleotide ribosomal RNA is filed under the name Coeliccia flavostriata. RNAcentral's name for it is "eukaryotic LSU rRNA". It matches the Rfam family "Eukaryotic large subunit ribosomal RNA", at positions 592 to 1722 of the family's 3401-position model. Lineage: Eukaryota; Metazoa; Arthropoda; Insecta; Odonata; Platycnemididae. The record is from RNAcentral.